GAUGAACGCUAGCGAUAGGCCUAACACAUGCAAGUCGAGGGGCAUCACAUGAAGUAGCAAUACGGAUGGUGGCGACCGGCGCACGGGUGAGUAACACGUAUGCAACCUGCCUUCAACAAGGGGAUAACCCGUUGAAAGACGGACUAAUACCCUAUAACACAGGGGUCCCGCAUGGGAAUAUUUGUUAAAGGACAACCGGUUGAAGAUGGGCAUGCGUUCCAUUAGCUAGUUGGCGGGGUAACGGCCCACCAAGGCAACGAUGGAUAGGGGAACUGAGAGGUUUAUCCCCCACACUGGUACUGAGACACGGACCAGACUCCUACGGGAGGCAGCAGUGAGGAAUAUUGGUCAAUGGGCGAGAGCCUGAACCAGCCAAGUCGCGUGCAGGAAGAAUGUCCUAUGGAUUGUAAACUGCUUUUGCAGGGGAAUAAAGUGAGCCACGUGUUGGUUUUUUGUAUGUACUCUGCGAAUAAGGAUCGGCUAACUCCGUGCCAGCAGC
RNAcentral lists this ribosomal RNA (499 nucleotides) under uncultured bacterium. RNAcentral's name for it is "bacterial SSU rRNA". It matches the Rfam family "Bacterial small subunit ribosomal RNA", at positions 28 to 515 of the family's 1533-position model. The record is from RNAcentral.